UGCCUUUUCUGGGUACACUUACCUUUUGAUGACUUCCUCCUGUCCAGAACUGGGUUGUCCUUUUGUCUACAUAACUGGCGAGGUUCACAAGGAAAUCAUUCUGAGCUGCAUUGGAGAUGCUGCCAUCCACCAAUCAAGAUGGGGUAGAGAUUUCUCGUAACUAUCUUCUGCUGAGUGAGAUUGUGUGAUUUUUGUCUCUAUCCUGAGGAUACAAUGGAUCCACUUCUCUACUUCACAAAACCAUGUCAGUGGUUGGUGCAAUGCAUCGCAGCUUGCUGAUUCCUCUCUGGCUGUGCCCCUUGGAGAGACUGCAGGGGGUGCAGCAGCAUCAGACAGACAUUCUAGAUGCAUUAUACUCACCUUCCAAGCCUGGGAGAACCAGUACACCUAGCAGCAGGAACAAAAAUGGAAGGGACUUCAUUGCUACGAGACCUUGCAACACUGUUGCCUGCAAUGUGUAAAUAUCAGGACAGGAGCCUAGAAUUGAGAGAAUGUGGAAACUAUAUUUCUUAACCCAUCAGAUGAAGACAUUCCCUUCAGGACAAGGCUCAGGUCUGUUGAUGAAACAAUGGAACAGCAUAUGAAGCCUGACUCAGCUAUCCUAACUCACACUGAGAAGCAUCUAAUCAGGCGAGAUACUCACAAUGUGAGCAACAAUUGCAGAGUCCUAUCCUUCAUCACUAGGCUGUUUCUCCUGCCCUUCCGGGUAAUGUGGUAUGGGAAAAGAUGUUUGGUGUUUGUUUUGUGGUGAAGGGCAAUGUGUUAAAGGAUGAUUAUGUACAAAACCCAUAAAAUGAUGGUAAAUAAGCGCUCUGAGUAGCUUACCCACUUCUCAUUCUCACCAUAAUAUAUUUAUAAAAAUCAGUUUCUGAGCACAUACCGCAUGCCAUUUACUAUAUAGCAAAAUGUCUCUCCACUACCACUAGAUAAGUACAUUGUAAUGGUACCAAUUCAUUUAAUGAAUGGAUCUGACCUCUUCUUACUUGGUUCAUGACUCGUCUGUGAUCUGAUAAUGAUUUUCUUGAAUUUAUUCAUUACUUGAAAUUACUCACUAAAUACUUUCUGCAGAUAAUUCUCAGCCUGUAGAUUCUUUGUGAGCAGCUCAUUGAGCGUAUUAAAAAAAUGUGUUAUUUUGAUCAGACACAUAAGCCACAUUGUACGCUUCCAUUUCCUGCCUGGAUGAAGAUAAUUCUGAGAAGGAAGUUACAGAGCAUGCAUUUAAAAUUUGCUUUCCAUGAAUAUCCUGCAGUAUUCCUUGGAAAUUCACAGUUUCUGCGAACAUUCCUAUCUGUGCAUUCAUUUGCUAGAAUAUUCAUCGAAAAUAAAUAGAGAAAGUUGCUGGAUGGGACUUUCAAUUAACUUAGGGGUACAAGUCCCAUUGAAAGUCAAUAGGACUUGUGAUUCUACCUCACUUAGGUGCAUUUGAAAAUUCCUCCUGUUAACAUAGUUGAAGCACGUUUGUUGAUAAAUUUGAAGGUAUAUUUAUCGAACAUUUUUGUAGGAUUCACCUGGGUCUAUUCUCUGUUCUCUCUACCUGUAUAGGGCUGUCUAUCUGCUGUUUGUUUCUCAUAAUAGGGGCAUGCUCCAUUUCCCAGCACACCUGCAUGGUAGAAAGAGUCACUGUUCUAUUGGAAGUGCUGUUCUUCAAAAUUAAGGCAUUCUCCCAGCAACCCCAGCUGUCUGCGCACAAGUGUUUUUAUAACCACAAAAUGAUGACUGAGCAAAUGUUUCAUUUAGCUGUUCAGAGAACAUCCAGAUCCCUGGGAGAAUUAGAAUGGUCAGACCCAUCACUACACAGCAAAGAUGUAGUCGUAAAAAUCAGCAGGUUGAUGGUCAGAGGUUGCUCAAGGCACUUAGCCAACUUCCCAGAGAUCUCUCUCCCCCUCUAUGUUGCUAGGAUAUUUGUCAACAGAAUGAAAGUGACAGUUCCUGAAAGUGAAGCUGUAUUUCCAGGGGUGAGUCAGAGUUGAAUAGAAUUUGUUUUAUAUAUGAGGUCUUUCAUAUUCCAGGUAACUCAAUGCACAACAUUGUAAACUAAAUGCUAGCAACUCACUAACAGUGUAGACAAAUGUAGCAAGUGUUGUGCAUUAAGCAGCAGCACACAUAGCAGUAGAUGUUAGAAGCAGUUCUCCUAAAAGAGAGAGCAGGGGAAAUGUUGACCUAGAUUAUCCUUUAUAUGCAUAUUGGAAAAGUGCCAUGGGAUCUUUGAUUUCACCAUGGGCAGAGGUGGGGUGGGAUCACCUUGCUCUAAAUAGCUUAUGAUUUCAGGAAAGAUUUAAUUGCUAUGCCUUCCACUAUGCCUGAAAUACCUUCCAAAUCCUGCAUCCCAUGUAACCUCCCUUUCCUUCAUAUUCCUCCUCACAACUCGCCUAUUCCCACGCUCUCUCCAAUGCUGACUCCUACACCCAUGCUGCCCUUCUAAUGUAGGUAGGAUAAUAACAUUUAAAAAGCUGAUAGUGCUGUGACCCAAAGUAUAAAGGAAGCAACCUUAUUAGCUUGCCCUGCAUCAUUUCCCCUUCUAGUAUGUCAUACCAUAUCCAAUUUACAAUUUAAAUAGGCUUACUACUGCUAUAUAGCACCUUCCUCACAAUUGACUUCCUUGGAACUUUUUGUGGGGUAAGGCAUAUCCUAAUGUGAGUAAGGGUAUCAGAAUCUGACCCUUAGAUUGUAAAUUCUUUGGGGCAGGGAUUAUCUAUGUAUUCUCUCUGUAAAUAAUUAUAUACUUAAAUUAAUCCCUAGCACCAGCACUCUACAAUGGGUGAAGAGGGAUAGGAAGGUGUCUCCAUUUAAGCAUUACGGAGUGUGAGGUCUGUGUGGUUUCCAAAGUCCAGUUUGAAAGGUGACAAUUUACAAUUCACAGUUAUGAGAGCAAAGCAUUUGCACAAGAAAAAGACAAGACAGACAGAACUCUGGUUUUGGUUCUUCUCUUCCACAGGGCUGGACCCAGAGUUCAUUCCAGGUGGGCACAGUGAUCCAGUUCUUCUUUAUGCUUCUUUCCAGGGCCUCCAACCAGAGCCCAUUCCAUGUGGGUCUGGUAAUUUAGUUCUGGUUUUGUUCCUCCCCUCCAAGGAGUUGUACUGGAUAUUUGAAAGAUCAUGAAUAAUUAUUGAUAUAAAGUUUGUUUUUGUCUCAUGUUUUGCGAACCUGUCUUUUGAGAGGCUG
RNA transcript from Mauremys reevesii (Reeves's turtle), 3162 nucleotides. It is a transcript of the gene named family with sequence similarity 216 member B, with no coding region annotated. Lineage: Eukaryota; Metazoa; Chordata; Testudines; Geoemydidae. The record is from RefSeq and is a predicted model, not a curated record. The transcript has 6 exons.